Molecule: long non-coding RNA, 1338 nt
Organism: Pangasianodon hypophthalmus (striped catfish)
Lineage: Eukaryota; Metazoa; Chordata; Actinopteri; Siluriformes; Pangasiidae
Exons: 4
Source: RefSeq, a predicted model, not a curated record
UUCUGUAAGUCGCUGUGGAUAAGGGCGUCUGCCAAAUGCCAUAAAUGUAAAUGUAAUGCGUCUCAAUUCGCCCACUAUCCGUCCUACAUAGUGUCUGAGAUUAGAAUUAGUGUGUUGUAGUAUGUUGAAAUGAGUGUCCCAAAAGUACCCGGAUGCUCGACGACUUUUUCCUGUACAUUUUCGAAGUGACACUUUUUCCGCUGAUAUUGCCCACAAUUCCUUGCGCGAGGGAGGACGAGGUUUGUGAGAGGUGUAAAUGAAAUAUGGAAAAAUAAAUCAAGGGAAUGGUAAAUUAAAAUUAUAUAGUAUCAAUUAUAUAAGGAAUAGUGAAUGAAGAAAAGCUGAAAUGUAAAUGAGGGGGUUGUUUACGGUGACAGUGUGCGUUACUAGGCAACAACGUUCUCUUCCGGUACCUGCACCUGCAUACUCUUUUGCUACACACUCACAAGCAUUUCUUGGAGGAGAGUGUUUUACCAACUUGGGGCUGUUCAGUGCUGGAACAUGUUGCUUCUUCAGACUUAGCAAGAACGAUUUUUCGUCUUUCUACACCAUCGGGGCAUCUCCAUAAGAAUAUCUCAAUCACUCCCUCUAAUCUUCUGAAAGAAGAGGAAUAUGCCUGGCUCAUGUUCUGCUGGUUUGAAGGGGAGGAUUUUCUUUGCUGGUGUUUGUGAAGGAAGGGGAGAAGAAAAUCUUGUUUGGUGAGAUGUUGCAUGAAUAGGCAAAGUGGGUGAGACUUUCACACUUUUUCUGUAUCUUUUUGGCUGUCUCUCUUUGUCCACAGAUUUAGUUUAUGCUAUUUACUUCCUCAUUCUAAUAUUUCCUCAUGAAAAGUAUUGGAACCCCUGUUUGGAAACCCCUUUCCUGUUCUAUCAGACAUUAUGGGUUAUAUUUCUAGGUGCAAGCCAGUUUUAUCCUGUACCAGCUCACUUGCAGUUUUCAUCAUCAAAAAUGAAGACACCUGUGCAGCACAUUAGAGGUUGUGAUUUGAAAUCUGCUGCCGCAGUGCUAUUUCCCAGCCAGCAUGGUCCAAAAUUGUACUUAAAUUGCGAGUUACUGCCUGUAGAGAACUCACUUAGCAAAAAUGCCAGGCCUAACUGGUAUGUUCCAGCCUGCAAGCAAAGGCUUAAAAUCCUGUUCCUUUUCAAGCAACUUGAUUUUUAAAACACCACAUUUUGACACUUUAUCUAAUAAGCUACUUCAUUCUACUGCUAACAAAAUACAACUGAGGUAAAUACCAAUCAGGCAGAGUAUUACACGUAGAAUAUCAUAUUAACAGAAUCAAUGAAAUGUUUGACAAACUAAUAAAAAAAAAAAACCUUACACAGAGACGAGGAAUCA